Molecule: ribosomal RNA, 301 nt
Filed under: uncultured bacterium
Lineage: Bacteria
Description: partial 16S ribosomal RNA
Rfam family: Bacterial small subunit ribosomal RNA
Source: RNAcentral
CAGCCGCCGCGGGAAUACGUAGGUGGCAAGCGUUGUCCGGAAUUAUUGGGCGUAAAGGGCUCGCAGGCGGUUUCUUAAGUCUGAUGUGAAAGCCCCCGGCUCAACCGGGGAGGGUCAUUGGAAACUGGGAAACUUGAGUGCAGAAGAGGAGAGUGGAAUUCCACGUGUAGCGGUGAAAUGCGUAGGGAUGUGGAGGAACACCAGUGGCGAAGGCGACUCUCUGGUCUGUAACUGACGCUGAGGAGCGAAAGCGUGGGGAGCGAACAGGAUUAGAUACCCCUGUAGUCCCUGUCUCUUAUAC